UUAAGCGACUAAGCGUACACGGUGGAUGCCCUGGCAGUCAGAGGCGAUGAAGGACGUGCUAAUCUGCGAUAAGCGUCGGUGAGGUGAUAUGAACCGUUAUAACCGGCGAUUUCCGAAUGGGGAAACCCAGUGUGUUUCGACACACUAUCAUUAACUGAAUCCAUAGGUUAAUGAGGCGAACCGGGGGAACUGAAACAUCUAAGUACCCCGAGGAAAAGAAAUCAACCGAGAUUCCCCCAGUAGCGGCGAGCGAACGGGGAGGAGCCCAGAGCCUGAAUCAGUGUGUGUGUUAGUGGAAGCGUCUGGAAAGGCGCGCGAUACAGGGUGACAGCCCCGUACACAAAAAUGCACAUAUUGUGAGCUCGAUGAGUAGGGCGGGACACGUGGUAUCCUGUCUGAAUAUGGGGGGACCAUCCUCCAAGGCUAAAUACUCCUGACUGACCGAUAGUGAACCAGUACCGUGAGGGAAAGGCGAAAAGAACCCCGGCGAGGGGAGUGAAAAAGAACCUGAAACCGUGUACGUACAAGCAGUGGGAGCCUCUUAAUGGGGUGACUGCGUACCUUUUGUAUAAUGGGUCAGCGACUUAUAUUCUGUAGCAAGGUUAACCGAAUAGGGGAGCCGAAGGGAAACCGAGUCUUAACUGGGCGUUAAGUUGCAGGGUAUAGACCCGAAACCCGGUGAUCUAGCCAUGGGCAGGUUGAAGGUUGGGUAACACUAACUGGAGGACCGAACCGACUAAUGUUGAAAAAUUAGCGGAUGACUUGUGGCUGGGGGUGAAAGGCCAAUCAAACCGGGAGAUAGCUGGUUCUCCCCGAAAGCUAUUUAGGUAGCGCCUCGUGAAUUCAUCUCCGGGGGUAGAGCACUGUUUCGGCAAGGGGGUCAUCCCGACUUACCAACCCGAUGCAAACUGCGAAUACCGGAGAAUGUUAUCACGGGAGACACACGGCGGGUGCUAACGUCCGUCGUGAAGAGGGAAACAACCCAGACCGCCAGCUAAGGUCCCAAAGUCAUGGUUAAGUGGGAAACGAUGUGGGAAGGCCCAGACAGCCAGGAUGUUGGCUUAGAAGCAGCCAUCAUUUAAAGAAAGCGUAAUAGCUCACUGGUCGAGUCGGCCUGCGCGGAAGAUGUAACGGGGCUAAACCAUGCACCGAAGCUGCGGCAGCGACGCUUAUGCGUUGUUGGGUAGGGGAGCGUUCUGUAAGCCUGUGAAGGUGGCCUGUGAGGGUUGCUGGAGGUAUCAGAAGUGCGAAUGCUGACAUAAGUAACGAUAAAGCGGGUGAAAAGCCCGCUCGCCGGAAGACCAAGGGUUCCUGUCCAACGUUAAUCGGGGCAGGGUGAGUCGACCCCUAAGGCGAGGCCGAAAGGCGUAGUCGAUGGGAAACAGGUUAAUAUUCCUGUACUUGGUGUUACUGCGAAGGGGGGACGGAGAAGGCUAUGUUGGCCGGGCGACGGUUGUCCCGGUUUAAGCGUGUAGGCUGGUUUUCCAGGCAAAUCCGGAAAAUCAAGGCUGAGGCGUGAUGACGAGGCACUACGGUGCUGAAGCGACAAAUGCCCUGCUUCCAGGAAAAGCCUCUAAGCAUCAGGUAACAUCAAAUCGUACCCCAAACCGACACAGGUGGUCAGGUAGAGAAUACCAAGGCGCUUGGGAGAACUCGGGUGAAGGAACUAGGCAAAAUGGUGCCGUAACUUCGGGAGAAGGCACGCUGAUAUGUAGGUGAAGCGACUUGCUCGUGGAGCUGAAAUCAGUCGAAGAUACCAGCUGGCUGCAACUGUUUAUUAAAAACACAGCACUGUGCAAACACGAAAGUGGACGUAUACGGUGUGACGCCUGCCCGGUGCCGGAAGGUUAAUUGAUGGGGUUAGCGGUAACGCGAAGCUCUUGAUCGAAGCCCCGGUAAACGGCGGCCGUAACUAUAACGGUCCUAAGGUAGCGAAAUUCCUUGUCGGGUAAGUUCCGACCUGCACGAAUGGCGUAAUGAUGGCCAGGCUGUCUCCACCCGAGACUCAGUGAAAUUGAACUCGCUGUGAAGAUGCAGUGUACCCGCGGCAAGACGGAAAGACCCCGUGAACCUUUACUAUAGCUUGACACUGAACAUUGAGCCUUGAUGUGUAGGAUAGGUGGGAGGCUUUGAAGUGUGGACGCCAGUCUGCAUGGAGCCGACCUUGAAAUACCACCCUUUAAUGUUUGAUGUUCUAACGUGGGCCCGUAAUCCGGGUUGCGGACAGUGUCUGGUGGGUAGUUUGACUGGGGCGGUCUCCUCCUAAAGAGUAACGGAGGAGCACGAAGGUUGGCUAAUCCUGGUCGGACAUCAGGAGGUUAGUGCAAUGGCAUAAGCCAGCUUGACUGCGAGCGUGACGGCGCGAGCAGGUGCGAAAGCAGGUCAUAGUGAUCCGGUGGUUCUGAAUGGAAGGGCCAUCGCUCAACGGAUAAAAGGUACUCCGGGGAUAACAGGCUGAUACCGCCCAAGAGUUCAUAUCGACGGCGGUGUUUGGCACCUCGAUGUCGGCUCAUCACAUCCUGGGGCUGAAGUAGGUCCCAAGGGUAUGGCUGUUCGCCAUUUAAAGUGGUACGCGAGCUGGGUUUAGAACGUCGUGAGACAGUUCGGUCCCUAUCUGCCGUGGGCGCUGGAGAACUGAGGGGGGCUGCUCCUAGUACGAGAGGACCGGAGUGGACGCAUCACUGGUGUUCGGGUUGUCAUGCCAAUGGCACUGCCCGGUAGCUAAAUGCGGAAGAGAUAAGUGCUGAAAGCAUCUAAGCACGAAACUUGCCCCGAGAUGAGUUCUCCCUGACCCUUUAAGGGUCCUGAAGGAACGUUGAAGACGACGACGUUGAUAGGCCGGGUGUGUAAGCGCAGCGAUGCGUUGAGCUAACCGGUACUAAUGAACCGUGAGGCUUAACCUU
This 2903-nucleotide ribosomal RNA is filed under the name Escherichia coli RN587/1. RNAcentral's name for it is "bacterial LSU rRNA". It matches the Rfam family "Bacterial large subunit ribosomal RNA". Lineage: Bacteria; Pseudomonadati; Pseudomonadota; Gammaproteobacteria; Enterobacterales; Enterobacteriaceae. RNAcentral also lists the same sequence under 1 other name. The record is from RNAcentral.